This 250-nucleotide long non-coding RNA is filed under the name Elaeis guineensis (African oil palm). RNAcentral describes it as "long non-coding RNA (EGUI_LNC053247)". The record is from RNAcentral. Lineage: Eukaryota; Viridiplantae; Streptophyta; Magnoliopsida; Arecales; Arecaceae.
UGCCAACAUCAGACAAGUCGAACGACAAGAGAAGUCCGACGGACGACAAUUUAAUACAAUAUGCAGAUGAGGUAACACAAAAUUCCCUUUUCAUUCUAUUUGCGAAACAUACACCAUGAAGCCCAGGAGGCCAAGGGAGGAAAAGCAAAACGACAAAAGCGAGACAAAACAAUAAAAGAGAAAAUGUACACAUGAAAAGACAGAAGGCUAGAAAGAGCCCUAGGGAAGCUCUGCUCCUUCCGACCUAGAA